GCGGCCCCGGGAAUUCGAUUAGAGUUUGAUCAUGCCUCAGGACGAACCCUGGCGCCGUGCCUAAUACAUGCAAGUCGACCGGAGUUUCCGCGGACGCAAGCCUUCGGGUGGAUGUUGCGAAAACUUAGCGGCGGACGGGUGAGUAACACGUGGGCAACCUGCCCGAAAGACCGGGAUAACAUCCGGAAACGGAUGCUAAUACCGGAUAAACGGACCUUUCGCAUGAAGGGUUCGGGGAAAGACGGGGCAACCUGUCACUUUCGGAUGGGCCCGCGGCGCAUUAGCUGGUUGCCGGGGUAACGGCCCACCAAGGCGACGAUGCGUAGCCGACCUGAGAGGGUGAACGGCCACACUGGGACUGAGACACGGCCCAGACUCCUACGGGAGGCAGCAGUAGGGAAUCUYCCGCAAUGGACGAAAGUCUGACGGAGCAACGCCGCGUGAGUGAGCAAGGUCUCCGGAUCGUAAAGCUCUGUUGCCAGGGAAGAAUCCCCUGGGGAGUCACUGCCCCGGGGUUGCCGGUCCCUCCGAAGAAAGCCCCGGCUAACUCCGUGCCAGCAGCCGCGGUAAUCAUCACUAGCGAAUUCGCGG
Molecule: ribosomal RNA, 591 nt
Filed under: uncultured thermophilic aerobic biofilm eubacterium SCBP-D2
Lineage: Bacteria
Description: partial 16S ribosomal RNA
Rfam family: Bacterial small subunit ribosomal RNA
Source: RNAcentral